CGAUGUAAGAGUGAUUUGGUUGAAACAUGUUACCAUAGGGUUGAUUUGACUAGUAGAGUGUCCCCUUCAGAAGGACACUCACAGCUCCAUUGUGUCCCUCCUAAACUUUCAUGCUUAGUCAAAGAGGAACCUUCCUUGUUGAAGGCCAUAAUUCUUUUGCCCAGGGUAUCCAAGUAACUGGGUUCCCUUUAUUGAAACGACAGGCAUGCUCUCAAGUCUAAAAAAGAAUGAAUUCCUUUUCUUGAACCUGUUUAUACUGUUAUUAUCUACUAUAAGUUAUCUAAAUGGUCAAAAACUUUCAAAACAACAAAUUAGGACACAGUUAUUGCUGCUAAGUUUUAUUUU
RNAcentral lists this small nuclear RNA (345 nucleotides) under Mesocricetus auratus (golden hamster). RNAcentral's name for it is "7SK RNA". It matches the Rfam family "7SK RNA". Rfam says of the family: 7SK was discovered as an abundant small nuclear RNA in the mid-70s but a possible function has only recently been suggested. The record is from Rfam by way of RNAcentral. Lineage: Eukaryota; Metazoa; Chordata; Mammalia; Rodentia; Cricetidae.